AACCUUUAGAUAAACAAAUAUUAAAGGCAACGCCUGCCCAGUGAAUAAUUAAACGGCCGCGGUACCCUAACCGUGCAAAGGUAGCAUAAUCAUUUGUCUACUAAUUAUAGACCAGUAUGAAAGGCAAAAUGAGGGUCUGACUGUCUCUUAUAAUAAAUCAAUGAAACUGAUCUCCUAGUAAAAAAGCUAGAAUACCACCAUAAGACCAGAAGACCCUGUGAAGCUUAAACUAAACUAUUAAAACACAUAAUAAUUACUUUCGGUUGGGGCGACCUUGGAAAAAAAAAGAACUUCCAAACACCACUGAGCCUUACCUCAGACUAUAGGCCCACAAGCCAAAAACUGACCCAGUAUAGCUGAAAAUUGAACCAAGUUACUCCAGGGAUAACAGCGCAAUCUUCUUCAAGAGCCCAUAUCAAAAAGAAGGUUUACGACCUCGAUGUUGGAUCAGGACAUCCUAAUGGUGCAGCCGCUAUUAAGGGUUCGUUUGUUCAACGAUUAAUAGUCCU
Molecule: ribosomal RNA, 509 nt
Filed under: Dolichophis schmidti
Lineage: Eukaryota; Metazoa; Chordata; Lepidosauria; Squamata; Colubridae
Description: partial 16S ribosomal RNA
Rfam family: Bacterial large subunit ribosomal RNA
Source: RNAcentral